Molecule: long non-coding RNA, 109 nt
Organism: Trachymyrmex septentrionalis
Lineage: Eukaryota; Metazoa; Arthropoda; Insecta; Hymenoptera; Formicidae
Exons: 3
Source: RefSeq, a predicted model, not a curated record
UAUUAUUUUUUAAAAUUCUGCCCAUAGACUUCUAGCAUUUACCCAAAAUGAACUCGGUAUCUCACAAUAGGGGGCCUUUCCUCUACUAUUUCACAUUUUAAUAAAAUUU